GGGGUCGAAAGGAUUUCGACGGGGAAUGUGCCCCUAGCGUAAGCGAGCCGAGUGGCGGAAACUCGUUAAUCAGCCGCGUCUUUAAGAAGAAACGACAGUAAACCUCUUCUAAAAGCUGCUUAAGCACAGCGCUUAGCAGCCGUCUAGGCCCGGGAACUGCGACCGGGCUGUCGGGCGUCAAUUAGCAGUGCACGUGAACGGGGCAGCGCCGCAUAACCCGUCAUGCAUCAUGUGGCUACCAACGCGACCAGCCCGCCGAUCGGCGGAUCGCGGAGGAAAUGCAAACGAUCGGCUACGCUCGUAGAAAACCUAGGAAACCGUUUUUCGGACGCGGGUUCGAUUCCCGCCGACUCCACCA
This 358-nucleotide transfer-messenger RNA is filed under the name Oscillospiraceae bacterium. It matches the Rfam family "transfer-messenger RNA". From Rfam's summary of the family: Bacterial tmRNA, also known as 10Sa RNA or SsrA, is named for its dual tRNA and mRNA-like properties. Its role is to liberate the mRNA from a stalled ribosome. Lineage: Bacteria; Bacillati; Bacillota; Clostridia; Eubacteriales; Oscillospiraceae. The record is from RNAcentral.